GACCAUAGAAACUCAUUGGUGGGACCACACGUUGUUUGCUCGACACUCCACGGCCCCUGGGAAGGUCUGAGACUGGAACCUCUGGCAGCCCUAACAGUGCUCUCCACGCGUGAGGAGGUGAGUUCCCAGAGAGUAGGGCUCCACGUGUGGGACGGUUGGGCAGGAAAGACCCCGAGUGGGCAGAUGCCUCCCUCACUGGAGCUUGGAACAAAAUGACUCACAAUUAAAAAAGAAUAAAUAAUGCUGGACUUUAGACAUUUGACAUACAAUAAAUGAACAAUGGUGAAAGGAAUUUUUAAAUUUUGUAUUCGUUAUUUUAUUUAUUUACAUGUUAAAUGUUAUUCUUCUUCCCAGUUUCCCCUCCGAAAAUCCCCAUAUACCACCCCCUUGCCCCUGCU
Molecule: RNase P RNA, 398 nt
Filed under: Mus pahari (shrew mouse)
Lineage: Eukaryota; Metazoa; Chordata; Mammalia; Rodentia; Muridae
Description: lncRNA (MGP_PahariEiJ_G0032813.1)
Rfam family: Nuclear RNase P (bases 5-324)
About the family: Ribonuclease P (RNase P) is a ubiquitous endoribonuclease, found in archaea, bacteria and eukarya as well as chloroplasts and mitochondria. Its best characterised activity is the generation of mature 5'-ends of tRNAs by cleaving the 5'-leader elements of precursor-tRNAs.
Source: RNAcentral